RNAcentral lists this non-coding RNA (91 nucleotides) under bovine gut metagenome. Its description in RNAcentral is "SAM riboswitch (S box leader)". It matches the Rfam family "SAM riboswitch aptamer (S box leader)". From Rfam's summary of the family: The SAM riboswitch is found upstream of a number of genes which code for proteins involved in methionine or cysteine biosynthesis in Gram-positive bacteria. The SAM riboswitch acts at the level of transcription termination control. The record is from RNAcentral.
CUUAUCAAGAGUGGUGGAGGGACCGGCCCUGUGAAACCCGGCAACCUGCGUACGCAAGGUGCCAAUUCCGGCGAGUAAAUCGGCAGAUGAG